GUCCCCCUCGUCUAGAGGCCUAGGACACCGCCCUUUCACGGCGGUAACAGGGGUUCGAAUCCCCUAGGGGACG
Molecule: transfer RNA, 73 nt
Filed under: Proteus mirabilis
Lineage: Bacteria; Pseudomonadati; Pseudomonadota; Gammaproteobacteria; Enterobacterales; Morganellaceae
Description: tRNA-Glu
Rfam family: tRNA
About the family: Transfer RNA (tRNA) molecules are approximately 80 nucleotides in length. Their secondary structure includes four short double-helical elements and three loops (D, anti-codon, and T loops). Further hydrogen bonds mediate the characteristic L-shaped molecular structure. tRNAs have two regions of fundamental functional importance: the anti-codon, which is responsible for specific mRNA codon recognition, and the 3' end, to which the tRNAs corresponding amino acid is attached (by aminoacyl-tRNA synthetases). tRNAs cope with the degeneracy of the genetic code in two manners: having more than one tRNA (with a specific anti-codon) for a particular amino acid; and 'wobble' base-pairing, i.e. permitting non-standard base-pairing at the 3rd anti-codon position.
Source: RNAcentral